RNAcentral lists this ribosomal RNA (253 nucleotides) under uncultured bacterium. Its description in RNAcentral is "partial 16S ribosomal RNA". It matches the Rfam family "Bacterial small subunit ribosomal RNA", at positions 524 to 776 of the family's 1533-position model. The record is from RNAcentral.
UACAGAGGGUGCGAGCGUUGUUCGGAAUUAUUGGGCGUAAAGGGCGCGUAGGCGGUGCGGUAAGUCACCUGUGAAAUCUCCUGGCUCAACUGGGAGCUUGCAGGCGAAACUGCCGUGCUGGAGUGUGGGAGAGGUGCGUGGAAUUCCUGGUGUAGCGGUGAAAUGCGUAGAUAUCAGGAGGAAUACCGAUGGCGAAGGCAGGUCUCUGGGCUGACACUGACGCUCAUGCACGAAAGCGUGGGGAGCAAACAGG